Molecule: ribosomal RNA, 2436 nt
Filed under: Allobacillus sp. SKP2-8
Lineage: Bacteria; Bacillati; Bacillota; Bacilli; Caryophanales; Bacillaceae
Description: partial 23S ribosomal RNA
Rfam family: Bacterial large subunit ribosomal RNA
Source: RNAcentral
GCGUCUUGGGGUUGUAGGACAUUCCAUAUGGAGUUACCAAGAAGGUUGGUAGGUGAAUUGAUCUGGAAAGGUCAGCCGCAGAGGGUAAAAGCCCUGUAACCGAAAUCAACCUUCCUCCGGAAUGGAUCCUGAGUACGGCGGAACACGAGGAAUUCCGUCGGAAUCCGGGAGGACCAUCUCCCAAGGCUAAAUACUCCCUAGUGACCGAUAGUGAACCAGUACCGUGAGGGAAAGGUGAAAAGCACCCCGGAAGGGGAGUGAAAUAGAACCUGAAACCGUGUGCCUACAAGUAGUCGGAGCCCAUUAACGGGUGACGGCGUGCCUUUUGUAGAAUGAACCGGCGAGUUACGAUCAGCGGCAAGGUUAAAGGGAAGACCUGGAGCCGCAGCGAAAGCGAGUCUGAACAGGGCGAUUCAGUCGUUGGUCGUAGACCCGAAACUGUGUGAUCUACCCAUGUCCAGGGUGAAGGUAAGGUAACACUUACUGGAGGCCCGAACCCACGUACGUUGAAAAGUGCGGGGAUGAGGUGUGGGUAGGGGUGAAAUGCCAAUCGAACACAGAGAUAGCUGGUUCUCUCCGAAAUAGCUUUCGGGCUAGCCUCAGCAAAAGAGUCUUGGAGGUAGAGCACUGAUUGGACGAGGGGCCCUUCCCGGGUUACCGAAUUCAGUCAAACUCCGAAUGCCAAUGACUUAUGACUGGGAGUUAGACUAUGGGUGAUAAGGUUCAUAGUCGAGAGGGGAACAGCCCAGACCGCCAGCUAAGGUCCCUAAGUAUGUGUUAAGUGGAAAAGGAUGUGGCGUUGCUUAGACAACCAGGAUGUUGGCUUAGAAGCAGCCAUCAUUGAAAGAGUGCGUAAUAGCUCACUGGUCGAGUGACGCUGCGCCGAAAAUGUACCGGGGCUAAACACAUCACCGAAGCUGCGGAUUGUCCGCAGGACAAUGGUAGGAGAGCGUUCUAAGGGCGUUGAAGUCAGACCGUGAGGACUGGUGGAGCGCUUAGAAGUGAGAAUGCCGGUAUGAGUAGCGAAAAAGAAGUGAGAAUCUUCUUCACCGUAUGCCUAAGGUUUCCUGAGGAAGGCUCGUCCGCUCAGGGUCAGUCGGGACCUAAGCCGAGGCCGAAAGGCGUAGGCGAUGGCCAACAGGUUGACAUUCCUGUACCACCUCCCAUCCGUUUGAGUAACGGGGGGACGCAGGAGGAUAAGGAAAGCGCGUUAUUGGAUAAGCGCGUCCAAGCAGCAAGAGUUGUGUGUAGGCAAAUCCGCACACUGUACGCUUGAGCUGUGAUGGGGAGGGAAAUUUAGUACCGAAGUUCCUGAUUUCACACUGCCAAGAAAAUCCUCUAGCGAGGAUGGAGGUGCCCGUACCGUAAACCGACACAGGUAGGCGAGGAGAGUAUCCUAAGGUGAUCGGGAGAACUCUCGUUAAGGAACUCGGCAAAAUGACCCCGUAACUUCGGGAGAAGGGGUGCUCACUCAGGCUACGAGCCUGGGGAGCCGCAGUGAAUAGGCCCAAGCGACUGUUUAUCAAAAACACAGGUCUCUGCGAAGCCGCAAGGCGAAGUAUAGGGGCUGACACCUGCCCGGUGCUGGAAGGUUAAGUGGAUGCGUUAGUGCCUUUGGCACGAAGCGUUGAAACGAAGCCCCAGUGAACGGCGGCCGUAACUAUAACGGUCCUAAGGUAGCGAAAUUCCUUGUCGGGUAAGUUCCGACCCGCACGAAAGGUGCAACGACUUGGGCACUGUCUCAACGAGAGACCCGGUGAAAUUAUACUAUGCGUGAAGAUGCGCAUUACCCGCGACAGGACGGAAAGACCCCGUGGAGCUUUACUGUAGCCUGAUAUUGAAUGUUGGUACAGCUUGUACAGGAUAGGUGGGAGCCUAGGAAACCGGAGCGCUAGCUUCGGUGGAGGCGCCGGUGGGAUACCACCCUGGCUGUACGAACAUUCUAACCCAGAACCGUGAUCCGGUUCGGAGACAGUGUCAGGUAGGCAGUUUGACUGGGGCGGUCGCCUCCCAAAAGGUAACGGAGGCGCCCAAAGGUUCCCUCAGAAUGGUUGGAAAUCAUUCGCAGAGUGUAAAGGCAGAAGGGAGCUUGACUGCGAGACUUACAAGUCGAGCAGGGACGAAAGUCGGGCUUAGUGAUCCGGUGGUUCCGCAUGGAAGGGCCAUCGCUCAACGGAUAAAAGCUACCCCGGGGAUAACAGGCUUAUCUCCCCCAAGAGUCCACAUCGACGGGGAGGUUUGGCACCUCGAUGUCGGCUCAUCGCAUCCUGGGGCUGUAGUCGGUCCCAAGGGUUGGGCUGUUCGCCCAUUAAAGCGGUACGCGAGCUGGGUUCAGAACGUCGUGAGACAGUUCGGUCCCUAUCCGUCGUGGGCGUUGGAAAUUUGAGAGGAGCUGUCCUUAGUACGAGAGGACCAGGAUGGACACACCGCUGGUGU